This 72-nucleotide transfer RNA is filed under the name bacterium. Its description in RNAcentral is "tRNA-Val". It matches the Rfam family "tRNA". From Rfam's summary of the family: Transfer RNA (tRNA) molecules are approximately 80 nucleotides in length. Their secondary structure includes four short double-helical elements and three loops (D, anti-codon, and T loops). The record is from RNAcentral.
GCGCGAUUAGCUCAGUGGUAGAGCGUUUGCAUGACACGCAAAAGGUCGCAGGUUCGAUCCCUGCAUCGCGCA